This 7229-nucleotide long non-coding RNA is filed under the name Lactuca sativa (garden lettuce). Its description in RNAcentral is "long non-coding RNA (LSAT_LNC002394)". The record is from RNAcentral. Lineage: Eukaryota; Viridiplantae; Streptophyta; Magnoliopsida; Asterales; Asteraceae.
UGGUUUUGACAAAUUCACAUGGAUAGGAACUUAUACACCACAAAAUCUAAGUGUCAUAAGAUUACCUCCUUCAUGAAAAUGACUGUGAGGAAAUGCUUUCACUAAGAGAGAUUUUAAGAAGAUAGCAAUUGUGGAAAUUGUAUUCUCAAAUUCGAUUAUGGUUACGGCAUCCCUUUCCAUAGUUCGAAUUAUGAGAUUUGACAAUUAGUCUGAACAUUUGGGACUUAGUGACAUAAGUUCUGAAUUUGUCUAGACACACAUAUGAGCUUUCUAAGGCAAAGGUGUAUGAUUUUAAGAAGCUUUGAUAAAGGCUUAUCAAAGCAUUAGGUAUUAGAAAUAUGAACUUAAGGAAUUCAAUAAGCAUUGUUCUCUGGAAGUUUAAUUGUUUUCUGAAUACAUGUCAAAGCUAGUGGGAGCAUAAGUGUUAUGCUGGUAAGAAAAUAAUCAUCAUGUUAGUGGGAGCAUGAUUAUUAUGGUAAAGUAUUGCGAGUUAGCAAUAUUAAUUAUAGAAAACAAAGAUUCACUUUGCAAAGUUGUAAUGUUUGAAAAGUUGUUUUGCUAUAAUUAAGGGAGAGAAUAUUAUACUUCAUUUCAAAAUUCUAAAGCUUAGAUCGAGAAAUGUUAAUAAAUUUAGUCAAGGAUAUAUAGUGCAUUCUCAAAUUCGAUUAUGAUCACGGCAUCCCUCUUCAUAGAUCGAAUUGUGGGAACAGGACACAUAAAAUAUUAUGGCAGAAGGAUGAUAAAGUAUCACUUCUUUAUGUGAGACAUUAUGCAUCAUGUCCAAUACGCUUCGGGUAUAGGAUCGAUUGCAUAUGCUGUAAUAUUUUACCAUUCUAAAAUUUUCCAAAUGCCUAGGGCAUUAAGAGGGAAAAAGGAACUAGAAUCGGUUUUGACUAAAAUAAUUAAACAACUAUCAAAGGAAAAUCUGAGGUUCACUGAGGAUUUGUCGUUUGUGAGUAGUUAGAAGUAUAGUACUGAAUGGGCUAUAUUGACAUUAUUAUGAAUAGAUAAGAUUCUAUUAAGAAUAAGCUGUCAUAUGGCAAAUAUGGAAAUGUCUCCAUAUUGGGAGUUGGAUGUUGAGAGUCUGUGUCUAGAUUAGAAACUUUUAUGCAAGAAGGAUAUUCAAAGGAAUGUACUUUGAAUGUGAGACUUCACGUCUAUGGAAUUAUCUUGUAACAAUUUCCGAUAGAGUACUUUGUAAUUUCAUUGGCCAAAGUCUUGGUGACUUUUGUGCUAUGACUUUGCGAAAGGAUCGUUGCAUAAAAUGUUAGAAUCUAGCAUAUUCUAGUAGUUGCAAGAACCUUGUGUUCUAACACUAAUAAUAGGGAUUGGGAAUUGUGAAAUGAGCAUCAUUGGAAAGGUUUUUCAAUUGAUUUAUUUCACAAAGUAUGGACCAUAGGAAACCAAAGUGUGCAUGCUUGGAGCAUGGGACAAUUGUGGUUAUAAUUCAAGUAAUAAGUUGAUUUUCUGAAACUAUAAGCAAUGAAUAAUGAGUAAUCAAUAUGGUGUUUAAAUAAAAGUGUUUUUAUUUACGCUCAAAAGCUUUGGGGCCAUAUAGGAUUAAUAUUAUUAUUGCGUUUCACUUUGCAUGUUUUGACUUCCCGAAUAAUAAGAUUAUUCAAACUCCACAGUCGCUCGUACUUUUGGAAGUAAGUAGUGAAUCAAGACUGUCAUGAACUGGAUUGUAGAUUGUCUAAGGAUAGACAUGGCAAUAGAUUUGCUGCAACGUUCAUGAGUACUCAGAAAUUGAGAUUUGAGUAUUGGAUAAACCCACGCUCAGAGUAUUACUUCAUGGAAUUCAUCACGAGUAAUACUGAGACGAUAAUAUCUAUGAUCUUGAAACAGAGAUAUAUGAGUUGUAAUUUGCAAGUCGGCUAUACAUUGGUGAUAUGAAAACGCAUCAGUAACUUGGUGUUAUAAAACGUAUUGUCAUGUAUGGUUUGAUGAGUAAAAGAUACAAGCAUAUGAGUCAAUGUUUAUUCGUUCCUUUUGCCCUAACGGGAAAAGCGAUAUCUGUGGGCCCCUCGAUGAUUUGGUGUUGACUUAUGUGCUGGGCCCAGCCAGGACUAAAUUGAUGUGUUCAAUUAGAAGUCCUACAUCAUCACAAAUCAGGAAUCGGGAAACAUAGAUUCUGGACAAAGAGGUUGAUUGCAUUCCAUGUCUUUUGUCUAGGGAUAUCUAGCAGAACGAAGGAUUAUAUGAUCACUUAUCUUAGGACACGUAACUGACUGGGUCAGAGUUCGGCAGCAGCUUUUUGGAAGCUACAAUUUGCUGGUCAAAUUUAGAAGGCAUACUAGCAAUUAUAGUUACAGACUUAUCCAAGUGGGAGACUGUUGGAUUAGGUGUCUAAGCCCAUAACUAUAAUUGGUAUGUACUUGAAUUGAUAGCAGCACAGUCCUUUUGGGUUGCCCUCAAACCUAGCAACCGGACAAGGAAAUUAUGAAAGGAGAGAUAUUAAUUUAUUAUAAGAUUAAUAAAUUAAUAUAAAUGAAUUUAUUAAUAUGUUAAAAGAUUAAUAUAUUAAUAAGAAAUCAUUUUGUUUAAUUAAUUGUUAGCCAGAAAUUAAUUAGAAUUAAUUUUGGGGUUAAAAGAAUUAAUUAUAAAGUGCAGGGACUAGUUUGCAAUUAUCUAAUAGUUGAGUGGAAGGCUCUAGAACCCCCUUGGAUAAGGGUGGACGAAAUCUUUAGGGGAAACCCUAAUAAUUUCGUCCAUAGGGGCUUGGAUAAGGCCCUUGGGUUUGCUUAGGCCCUAAGCAAAGGAUAACUAGGGUUUCCCCUAAACCCUAGAUCCCUCAGCUAUAUAAGGAGCCUCCUGGUUCAUGUUUUGGUCACUCUUUUCUUUUGAAGAAACCCUAAGGGCCGAAAUUUUGCAUACUCCCUCUCCCCUCUCUCCUCUACUUUCCUUCUUGCUAGUUUGGGUGUGAUUCCAUUAGAGGCAUUACACUUGUGGUGCUAAGCUUCCAAGAAGAUCAAGAUCAAGAUCAAGGGAAUUAUCAAUUGUUUACUAUAACAAUUGAAAGGUAUGUAAUUACUAAACCCUAGUUUGUAAAUUUCGAUUAUAGCCUCUCUCCUCUAGGGUUCUUGUUUUGCAAUUCAAAGUUGUAUGUUCAAUAGAUAAAACAUAGAUCCAAAGUAGGUUGCAUGUGAACUUAGGAAUUGUUUUCUAGUUUAUUUGUUUUACCUAAAACCCAUCAGUGGUAUCAGAGCCAUUGUUUGUUUUAAAUUGAAUUGUUAUAAUUGUUGAAUUGCAAAUUAGGGUUUAUAGCUAUUAAACCCUAAAGGCCAUUUUUUUGAUUUUUAGGGUUGUGGAUCAAAGGGUUUUUGAAAACCCUAGCCUCCAAAGAACCCUAAUCGAAAUUAGGGUUAGGGUUUUGAAAACCCUAGCCUCCUCCCUUGAAAAUUUCGAAAUAUGCUAUAAAGAUUAGGGUUUCUUUGUUUUGGAUAAUAGUUGCCUUAUUGGAUAAUUGAGAAAAAUAAGGAAAUUAUCCUAUCCCCAUAUUUUCGAAAUCUAGAAGGGAUAUGGAUUAGGAUUAAAUUAAUUGUUUAAUUUAAUUAGAUAAUCCUUACAAGAUUUAAUAAAUUAAUUAAAAGUUAAUUAAUAGAUAAAUAUUAAAUCUAAUUAAUUGGUUUAUUUAAAUUUAAAAUUUAAUAGUUUAAAUUUCGAAAAAAUUUAUAUAAACCCUUGGAGUUUUAAAAUGUUUUUAAAACACACCUUAUAUAUAUUAUAAUUAAAAGUUAAAUAUUAUAUAUGUAUAAGAAUAUGGUCAGUCAAAUCGCUAGUAUGCCUCAUUCACGAAGCUAGUCUAUAAGGGGGUAUAAGGAAACUGCCUAUAAAAUGGUAGUUGAAUGGGUGUCCACUCUCACCCACCGCUUCCUUGAUUAGUGGAGGGUCGUUAGCAGAACGGAUUUGAUAGGACAACUACAUCUCAUUAAAAGUAUAAUGUUAUUAAAGAAAGUACUAGAACAUUAUUUUACAAAAUCCCAACUCUAGUUACUUUAGAAAAAAAUGUGAAAAAGUAUGCUAAUCCAUGAAAUUGCACAUUAUGCUUUAUUGGUCGUUAGUGGAGCGUGUGUGGUUAACCGGCACACUAAAAGGCACUAAUAAAGAGUAGUAAUGGGUAUCUCAUGAUUGUCAUUUUGAUGGAGCGUGUGUGGUUUACCGGCACAUCAAUAGUUAAUGAUAAAGACAAUGAGGUUACCAAGCACAUUUGCAUGGUUAUUCACAUCUUGUUUGUGAUCCUCGGCAUCCCAGUCACAAAUAGAAGAGCAUAAUCCGAGAUUAAAACAUGCCAUUGAAUAGUUUCAAUGUAUCUCAAAAGAUCUAGGAGUUUCCAAUACAUUUAAAACUUAACCUUCUUUUUCGUUUUUCAUGGUGGAAAUUGGUAAAUCGUCAUUUACCUACCUUCAAAUAUUCUGCAAAUUGGAUUACGGCAUCCCUCUUCCAAUUUGUGGAAUAUUGUGUUGGAUCCUAGCCUUAAUAUCUCUUUUGGGUGUUUUAUUAAGGAUUCAAUCAACUAACUUGAUUUCUCCCGUUGUGUAGAUGUCUGAAUCUAACCAUGGUAUUCCCAAAUCCAAAGGAAAAGAUAUUCCUGCUCAAAGUGAAAGUCUGUUCCACAAUGAAGGUGAAAGAUCAAUCCCUGCCAUGUGGACUAGCUUGAUUUCACUUCCUCCACCUCCUCCCGUUGUUCUCCCAAACCCACAAGACCAAAGGAUUGAAAAGUUCAAUAUCACUAAAGCCUUAUUGGCAAUGAAACAUGAAGAUGGUAAACCCGUGUGUGCUCACGUCCUAGGGAUGAAAUCACACAUCGAUAGGUUGAUAAUGUUGGGUGUGACCUUUCCCAAGAAGUUGGUUGCGGACUGGGUUCUUUAGUCACUCCCGGAAUCAUAUAAUAAGUUUAAAAGAGAGUAUUAUAUGAUGGAUCUUGACGCCACCCUCAUUGACAAAACUUACAUGCUUAUUGCUGCUGAAUCAGAAAUGAUUUGGCAAAGCAAUGAAGCAUAUUUGUUUGGUAAAUCAACCAACCAUGCUUUCAAGGACAUUCCAAAAGAACCCACCUGUUUCUGCUGCCAACAGAAGGGGCGUUGGAUACAAAUCUGCCCUGAGAACCUGAAGAGUCCAAGAAAUGGGAGAGUCAAGGAAUAUGGCUCUGCUUCAGGUAAAAUCCACUAUCUAACUCCAUUAAGUUCCUAUUCAUUGAUUCUUAAUACAUAAUGUGAUAAGAUUACAUUUGAAUGUUUUGAAGGAUCAGAGAAAAGAGAGGAAGCUUGAUGAGUCUGAUCACGAAGAAAUGGAUCACCGUCGCAUGGAUUCGAAGAUCAGAUUUUGAGCUUAGAAAGUUAUGAUAGAUUUGUUAGAAUAGAUUGCUAAUAACAUAGUUUUUCAAUUGAUUUUGCAUUGGAAGGGCAUGUUUUCUGCUGCUUUUAUGAAUAAAAUAAAAUUUUUGGUUUGAAUAAUUUUAUAUAUCCUUGCAAUGAUAUCGUUAUGGAAAAUUGAUGUUUGUGUAUCAAUAAUGGAUUUGAUUCUUAAUUAUGUCAUUUGUGGAAAUGUCGAGAAUUUGCCAAAUAAAGGAAGAUUCUCAUCGCCCAAGCUUCAGUUGGACAGAAACUUGGAGUCAUGUAACUUGGUUUCAUGAUGAAUGAGAAACUUCAUAUUUGGAAAUUAGAUUAAUUCUUUGACAAAGUGUCAAGAGAAGGACUAGGAGAUCGAGUACACUAGGUUGUACAUUGAUCAAGUCCACCACGAGAGUGAUAAAGAUGUUCGUCAUGAUUUAGUAAAGUUUAGUGAAUAUGGUUAUGCUUAUAAGAUUAAAUAUAAUUCUGAGUUGAUUGACAAAGUUUAAAUCAAUAGCAUAACGAAUAAGAAGAAUCAAGAAGGCAGAAAGAUAAGAGUUUUCUCCAUUCUAAGAAGAAGGGAGAGUACCUUUUAUUGAGUUUUAUGAUAAGUCUUAAUAAUUAGGAACCAUAUCUCAAUUGAUCCUCUAAGUAAGUCUUAGUGCAUUUGCAUGUCUAAGAAGAUAAAUUGAGAAUUNCUAAAGUUUAGUGAAUAUGGUUAUGCUUAUAAGAUUAAAUAUAAUUCUGAGUUGAUUGAAAGAAUUUCAAUCAAUGGCAGAACGAAUAAGAAGAAUCAAGUAGGCAGAAAGAUAAAAGUAUCUCUAUUCUAAGAAGAAGGGAGAGUAACUUUUAUUGUGUUUUAUGAUAAGUCUUAAUGAUUAGGAACCAUAUCUCAAUUGAUCCUCUAAGUAAGUCUUAGUACAUUUGCAUGUCUAAGAAGAGGAAUCGAGAAUUGUGGAAAUGGUUAAAAUCAAGAAGUCAAUCAUACUUCGUUCCAACAUCAAGUCUUAGAGUUAUACUCCAAGAUUGUGAAUUGAGUGACAAGUCUCAAGAAGGUUUAUAACACUCAUCAAAUGUGGAAUUUGGAAAAGUUUUCUUAUUCUUGCACAUUUAAAAUUUGUAAGUUGUGAUGUCUUGGAUAAGACAAAGACCAACUAGGACAAAUUUUGUGAAGUGUUUUGUCUUGAUAAGAACCACACUAACUCUUGAAUAUUUGUUUUGUCGAGGAAAGUUUCCUGACAAGAGAAUCGUAUAUGUCAAGAGGUCAGUGGGAGUUUUAAUGAUCUUGAAAAAGGUUUCAAGAACUAAUCAAGAAUAAACCUUAUCGAUCAUCACUAGCACACGACUUGAGGUUUAUAGCCUAUCGUGGAUGACAUACUCCUUUUCUAUGCCAUUCCAAUUGAAUUAAUUAUGCAAGUGAGUUCUAUGAGUUCUCAUGUGAAUGCAUAAAGACAUAGCACCUUGAUCAAUGGAAAGUACAUUGAUAAGUAAGGAUGAGUUGAUAAACCACUUGGAAGACAUGGUGGGCACUCGUGUUACCAUGAGGCAAGAAAUCAAGAUUGAGAAAGUUCAGUCCAUAUGAGUUUGGAUUUGUCACAAACUUUGGUUUUGACAAAUUCACAUGGAUAGGAACUUAUACACCACAAAAUCUAAGUGUCAUAAGAUUACCUCCUUCAUGAAAAUGACUGUGAGGAAAUGCUUUCACUAAGAGAGAUUUUAAGAAGAUAGCGAUUGUGGAAAUUGUAUUCUCAAAUUCAAUUAUGGUUACAGCAUCCCUUUCCAUAGUUCGAAUUGUGAGAUUUGGCAAUUAGUCUAACAUUUGAGACUUAUUGAUAUAAGUUCUGAAUCGCUUAGACACACAUAUGAGCUACCUAAAGCAAAGGUGUGUAAGUUUAAGAA